CUGACAUGUGGUCUCUCUUUCUCGUCCGCCCGCCCGCGUCUCACGUCAUCCGCUCCCCGUGAGAAACGCUCCUCCAUUUCACUCGCUCGCUCGCGUCGCCUCCUCCGCAUCCGAUCGCCCCUCGCCUCCGCGCCCCCUCGGCGCCCUGAUCGACGCCAGAGCAUCGCCUGGCCGCUCCGAUCCCGGUGUUCGACACGAUGCAGCAGCCGAUGGAGAACGAGAGGCCAGCAGACCCCGGCCGGCCCGUCACCCCCUUCGAGCCCGGCAUCGCCGUCCCACGGCCUCCGGGGGCGUCCUCGCCGUUCACCGCCGGUGGACCGUUCUUGCAACCCGGCCUUCGCUGAUGAUCGCUGUCGCCUAAAAUAAGUGGCAGAUUGGGUACCAGACGUAGCAGCAAUGGAUCACUUGAGCAUGUGAAUCGGCUGGGAUGGGAUGCCAAGGCACGAUCUCGUGAAGCGUCGCAUUUUUUUAGCUUCUCUCGCCUGUUGACCCUCAACUGUUCGAUAAAAUGCCUGCCUCAGACGCCUUGUUUCAUCACCGUUUUAAUGCUUGUGUCAAUUGUGUAUGCGUCUGGUUGAGAGGUUAGAGUUACUUCUGUGCAUAAAUUUCUGCUCGUGUAUAUUCCUCUCUCACCUACUGAUUCGCUGCCUUGAAUCAUCAGCAGCGAUUUUUUUCCCCCAUAGAGUCACCAGUGGUGACAGUUCAUGCGCGUUUUUGUCCACAUUUGUUUUUUAAAAAAACUACCUGUCUACUGGUACAAGAUCUUAAACCUCAAAGGCAAAAAUUGCUCUUCCCGUUUUAUCAUGUUUGAUUCUUUGAAAUACUAACAAUUAGUAAUAACAUAACUCCACUUACAAUCAACAAUCUGCGGGACAUGUUUUAUACAUAGUAUUGAAUGACUUACCAAAAAUAAAAAACUGCAAGUAUUCUCCAUCGUACCUUUUGGCAAUAAGUUAAAACCUUCAUUUAUUUCCAAAAGAACACAAGUAUCAAUCACACUAGGAGCACAACCACUGCACACACUCCCACUCGUGCAUUGUCGCUUCGUCUCGCUACUGCUCCACUGAAAAUGGCACCUGGUGCAGGUCUUCGCGCCGCCGGCGCAGGUGGGUGGCGGGGCGGGGCUGCCCUUCCCGUUUGAGUCCGUUGGGCACCACAACCGCCUUGGGCUCUUCCUCUUCACGCUCACCUAGUCAUGUGAGGAUUUUUUGGAGCCUCCACUGGAAGAACUUUUAAGGCAGCUGAAGGCACAAGGCGGUAGACGAUUUAGCUAAUGGUUGGCUCUGUGAGCAGCUGACAAGGUACCCUGUCAGCACUGAACUCACCUGAUGAUUUGUUCAACUUUUUCGAUGAGCUACGAGGUGUGCUCACUGCACCAGAAGGUGUAAGUGUGGAGGACGUAUUUCUGGCUCCAAAUAGUCAACUUGGAGUUUUUCUUCGCUGCUGCAUACUUGCCUUCAAUUCAAUGACCUUUGAGGUGCUACAAGUAGUAGAAUGCAUUCACAACCAUUUGUUGUUCACGUUUUUGCCCCUCUUUAUUUUCUUAUUUAAGGCACCAAUGUGCUCACUGAAAAUGUUUUGUAUGGCGUGUGCCAUCUUUUGGCAAAUCUUGUGGUGUACUGUAACUCCACUGAUGCUUCGUAUGACUUGGCAGAAGAUGAGGACUUCAACAGCGAAAUGAGCAACUUGAUGGAUGCAGAUAUAGGUGUAUAUUUGACAAUCUGGGACAAUCUAGGACCUUAGAAAGGGCUAUCCACGACCUGAAUUAGUAGUGAAUACUGAUACUAAGAAAUAGUAUCCGUUACGAGUAUUUUAUUUUGAUUCCAAACCUAACAAAUUUACCUCCUUACAUGUUACAACUUUGACAUCUGAUACAAGAGGACUGCAGGCUAGCACAAACAGAUUGCCUGCAAACUCCUGAUGCAUUUGAGUAAUUGCAUUUAGCUGGGUUACGAUUCUAGCUUCUUUUUUGUCACUUUUAGAUCCAUUGAUGUAUGCUAUAGCUUUUGCAUAUGUUUGAUGUCAUCUUGUGUAAUUUUUGUUUCCGUUGCAACGCACGGGUAUUCAACUAGUAACAAUAAUAUAUGAAUUUGUC
Phragmites australis (common reed) is the source of this 2095-nucleotide long non-coding RNA. RefSeq lists it as uncharacterized. The record is from RefSeq and is a predicted model, not a curated record. NCBI's taxonomy places the organism in Eukaryota, Viridiplantae, Streptophyta, Magnoliopsida, Poales, Poaceae. The transcript is spliced from 5 exons.